RNAcentral lists this ribosomal RNA (253 nucleotides) under uncultured bacterium. RNAcentral's name for it is "partial 16S ribosomal RNA". It matches the Rfam family "Bacterial small subunit ribosomal RNA", at positions 524 to 776 of the family's 1533-position model. The record is from RNAcentral.
UACGGAGGGUGCGAGCGUUGUCCGGAAUCACUGGGCGUAAAGGGCGCGUAGGCGGCCUGGCAAGUCGAUGGUGAAAGCCCGUGGCUCAACUACGGGUCGGCCAUUGAUACUGCUAGGCUCGAGUCGACUAGAGGCAGAUGGAAUUCCGGGUGUAGCGGUGGAAUGCGUAGAGAUCCGGAAGAACACCGGUGGCGAAGGCGGUCUGCUGGGGUAGAACUGACGCUGAGGCGCGACAGCGUGGGGAGCAAACAGG